GCAGUAAUGCGUGAAGCUAACCAGUACUAAUACCCCGAUCGGCUUGAUCGC
RNAcentral lists this ribosomal RNA (51 nucleotides) under Elstera litoralis. Its description in RNAcentral is "partial 23S ribosomal RNA". Lineage: Bacteria; Pseudomonadati; Pseudomonadota; Alphaproteobacteria; Rhodospirillales; Rhodospirillaceae. The record is from RNAcentral.